CAGCAGCCGCGGGUAUACGUAGGUGGCAAGCGUUGUCCGGAAUUAUUGGGCGUAAAGGGCUCGCAGGCGGUUUCUUAAGUCUGAUGUGAAAGCCCCCGGCUCAACCGGGGAGGGUCAUUGGAAACUGAGAAACUUGAGUGCAGAAGAGGAGAGUGGAAUUCCACGUGUAGCGGUGAAAUGCGUAGAGAUGUGGAGGAACACCAGUGGCGAAGGCGACUCUCUGGUCUGUAACUGACGCUGAGGAGCGAAAGCGUGGGGAGCGAACAGGAUUAGAUACCCCUGUAGUCCCUGUCUCUUAUAC
RNAcentral lists this ribosomal RNA (301 nucleotides) under uncultured bacterium. RNAcentral's name for it is "partial 16S ribosomal RNA". It matches the Rfam family "Bacterial small subunit ribosomal RNA", at positions 509 to 807 of the family's 1533-position model. The record is from RNAcentral.